Enhydra lutris kenyoni (northern sea otter) is the source of this 562-nucleotide non-coding RNA. The record is from the annotation of a RefSeq genome assembly. Lineage: Eukaryota; Metazoa; Chordata; Mammalia; Carnivora; Mustelidae.
CCCCAGCCCAGGGAUUUCCAGGUGUCCACAUUCACUGAUCAGGACAGAACACAGAGAACUCACCAUGGAAUUCGUGCUAGGCUGGGUUUUUCUUGUUGCCUUUUUAAAAGGUGUCCUGUGUGAGGUGCAGCUGGUGGAGUCUGGGGGAGACCUGGUGAAGCCUGGGGGUUCCCUGAGAAUCUCCUGUGCAGCCUCUGGAUUCACCUUCAGUAGCUACUGGAUGAGCUGGGUCCGCCAGGCUCCAGGGAAGGGGCUGCAGUGGGUUGCAUUGAUUAAUACUGGUGGAAGUAGCACAUACUAUGCAGACUCUGUGAAGGGCCGAUUCACCAUCUCCAGAGACAACAGCAAGAACACGCUGUAUCUGCAGAUGAACAGCCUUAGAGCCGAGGACACAGCUGUGUACUACUGUGCGAGAGACACAGUGAUAAUACCAGGAGCAGGUGCAGAUGGAGUCUAUGGCAUAUUUCCUGUUAGGGUCUGGGGUUUCCUCUCCAUAGUGCAGUUUCCCCAAGGGAGCCUCCUUGACAUUAUUAUGUGCUUGUAUAUUCACUCUGAGACUUAG